Uranotaenia lowii is the source of this 107-nucleotide small nuclear RNA. The record is from RefSeq and is a predicted model, not a curated record. NCBI's taxonomy places the organism in Eukaryota, Metazoa, Arthropoda, Insecta, Diptera, Culicidae.
GUUCAAGCUUCGGUUGAACAGAUACUAAAAUUGGAACGAUGUAGCAAAGCUUAGCAUGGCCCCUGCGCAAGGAUUACCCGCAAAAUCGUGAAGUGUUUCACAUUUUU